UCGAGAAUCAUUCGCAAUGGGCGAAAGCCUGACGAUGCGACGCCGUGUGAGCGAUGAAGGCCUUCGGGUCGUAAAGCUCUUUCGCUUGGGAACAAGAGAGGCCGGCUAAUAUCCGGCUCAUUUGAGGGUACCAGGUAAAGAAGCACCGGCUAACUCCGUGCCAGCAGCUGCGGUAAUACGGAGGGUGCAAGCAUUAAUCGGAUUUAUUGGGCGUAAAGGGCGCGUAGGCCGAAUGAUAAGUCAGGUGUGAAAUCCCGGGGCUCAACCCCGGAACAGCAUUUGAAACUGUCAUUCUAGAGGGUAGGCGGAGAAAACGGAAUUCCACAAGUAGCGGUGAAAUGCGUAGAUAUGUGGAAGAACACCGGUGGCGAAGGCGGUUUUCUAGCUUAUUCCUGACGCU
RNAcentral lists this ribosomal RNA (400 nucleotides) under uncultured bacterium. RNAcentral's name for it is "bacterial SSU rRNA". It matches the Rfam family "Bacterial small subunit ribosomal RNA", at positions 355 to 747 of the family's 1533-position model. The record is from RNAcentral.